RNAcentral lists this ribosomal RNA (499 nucleotides) under uncultured bacterium. RNAcentral describes it as "partial 16S ribosomal RNA". It matches the Rfam family "Bacterial small subunit ribosomal RNA", at positions 899 to 1397 of the family's 1533-position model. The record is from RNAcentral.
ACUCAAAGGAAUAGACGGGGGCCCGCACAAGCGGUGGAUCAUGUGGUUUAAUUCGAAGCAACGCGAAGAACCUUACCUGGGUUUGACAUCCCCGGACAGUGGCAGAAACGCCAUUUUCGUAGCAAUACGACCGGGAGACAGGUGCUGCAUGGCUGUCGUCAGCUCGUGUGGUGACAUGUUGGGUUAAGUCCCGCAACGAGCGCAACCCUUGUCUUUAGUUGCCAGCAUUAAGUUGGGCACUCUAGAGAGACUGCCGUGGUUAACACGGAGGAAGGUGGGGAUGACGUCAAGUCCUCAUGGCCUUUAUAUCCAGGGCGACACACGUGAUACAAUGGUCGGUACAGAGGGAAGCGAAGUGGCAACACGGAGCCAAUCUCAAAAAGCCGAUCUCAGUUCGGAUUGGAGUCUGCAACUCGACUCCAUGAAGUUGGAAUCGCUAGUAAUCGCGGAUCAGAACGCCGCGGUGAAUACGUUCCCGGGCCUUGCACACACCGCCCGU